GACCCAAGCCGGGAAGCACCUUGGGCGGACGAGCCGCGCGUCCCGCAGCCAUGGAGCAGGACGACCCGGCCGAGGCGCUGACGGAGCUGCGCGAGCGGCGGCUGGGCGCGCUGGAGCUGCUGCAAGCGGCGGCCGGCUCGGGCUUGGCAGCCUACGCGGUGUGGGCGCUGCUGCUCCAGCCCGGCUUCCGGCGCGUGCCGCUGCGGCUGCAGGUGCCCUACGUCGGCGCGAGCGCGCGGCAGGUGGAGCACGUGUUGUCGCUGCUGCGAGGCCGCCCCGGAAAAACGGUGGAUCUGGGCUCUGGCGACGGCAGGAUCGUGCUGGCGGCCCACAGGUGCGGCCUCCGCCCGGCCGUGGGCUACGAAUUGAACCCCUGGCUGGUGGCGCUGGCGCGGCUGCACGCCUGGAGGGCCGGCUGUGCCGGCAGCGUCUGCUAUCGCCGCAAAGAUCUCUGGAAGGUAACCUGGGGCUCUCUGGCCACCCGCUGACAACAACCCAAGGUGCGGCUGACACCUGCGAGGGCUGGGGGCCGGGACUCGGAAGCUGCGAUGACCCGGUGCCCACCAGGCCUCUCCCCUGCUGGGGCGACUUCUCUUCCGGCAGCUCCCGCUGCUGGAGGACAAGCUGCGGGCAGAGCUGCCUGCCGGGGCCCGCGUGGUGUCUGGGCGCUUCCCGCUGCCCACCUGGCAGCCUGUGGCCGUGGUUGGCGAGGGCCUGGACCGAGUAUGGGCCUACGAUGUUCCUGAGGGUGGGCAGGCUGGGGAGGCCAUCUCCUCGUGGAUACCCAUCCAGGCUGCCCUCGG
Molecule: small RNA, 803 nt
Filed under: Pongo abelii (Sumatran orangutan)
Lineage: Eukaryota; Metazoa; Chordata; Mammalia; Primates; Hominidae
Description: retained intron
Source: RNAcentral